CCUACGGGUGGCUGCAGGGAGGAAUAUUGGUCAAUGGACGCAAGUCUGAACCAGCCAUGCCGCGUGCAGGAAGACGGCUCGAUGAGUUGUAAACUGCUUUUGUACGAGGGUAAACGCAGAUACGCGUAUCUGUCUGAAAGUACCGUACGAAUAAGGAUCGGCUAACUCCGUGCCAGCAGCCGCGGUAAUACGGAGGAUUCAAGCGUUAUCCGGAUUUAUUGGGUUUAAAGGGUGCGUAGGCGGGCGGUUAAGUUAGAUGUGAAAUCCCGAGGCUCAACUUCGGACUUGCCUCUGAUACUGUUCGGCUAGAGCGUAGUUGCGGUAGGCGGAAUGUAUGUUGUAGCGGUGACAUGCUUAGAGAUCAUCCAGAACCCCGAUUGCGAAGGCAGCUUACCAAGCUACUUCUGACGUUGAGGCACGAAAGCGUGGGGAGCAAACAGGAUUAGAUACCCCAGUAGUC
RNAcentral lists this ribosomal RNA (460 nucleotides) under uncultured bacterium. Its description in RNAcentral is "partial 16S ribosomal RNA". It matches the Rfam family "Bacterial small subunit ribosomal RNA", at positions 338 to 795 of the family's 1533-position model. The record is from RNAcentral.